RNAcentral lists this ribosomal RNA (1342 nucleotides) under Echinococcus granulosus. Its description in RNAcentral is "Bacterial small subunit ribosomal RNA". It matches the Rfam family "Bacterial small subunit ribosomal RNA". The record is from Rfam by way of RNAcentral. Lineage: Eukaryota; Metazoa; Platyhelminthes; Cestoda; Cyclophyllidea; Taeniidae.
GUUAUAGAGAGUUUGAUGAUGGCUCUAACUGAACACUGUCCAAGUACUUGACACAUGCUAAUCGAACGACUAAUUAGGUUUUAAGUAAUAUUUAUGUUAUUUAAAACUAAGUAGUAGUGGUGUACAGGUGAGUAUAAGAUAAAUUGGUUACCUUAAACCAAGGGAAAAAUCCCUUAUAAAUAAAUAAAGGUAAAAAAAAAUCCGGUUUAAGAUGUUAAUUUUUAUCUCGGUGAGUAGUAGGAAAGGUAAUGACUUUUCUAGCAGUAACCGUAGUCGUGACUGGGAAGUUGAUCGACCACAUUGGGUCUGAAAAAAACCCAAUGCUUUUUUGUACAGCAGUGAGGAAUAUUGGUCAAUGGCCGAAAGGCUGAACCAGUAACUUGGAAGAAUGAAAUUGUAUUUGUAUAAAUACAGUAGCGAUUAAUUCGCAUAAAAUUCUAAAUAGAUUGUAUAUAAUGACAGAAUCUAUUUAUAAGUCUUGACCAAACUACGUGCCAGCAGUCGCGGUAAUACGUAGGAGGCUAGUGUUAGUUAUCUUUAUUGGGUUUAAAGGGUAUGUAGACGGUAAAUUAAACUCUAAAAGAGUACUUUUUUACUAGAGUUAUAUAUGAGAAGGAAGAAUUUCUGGAGUAGAGAUAAAAUUUUUUGAUACCAGGAGGACUGUCAACGGCGAAGGCGUCCUUCUAUGUAAUAACUGACGUUGAGAGACGAAGGCUUGGGUAGCAAACAGGAUUAGAUACCCUAGUAGUCCAAGCAGACAAUGAUGAAUGUCAUACAUUAGAGAAGAUUUAAUGUAUAAACGAAAGUGUAAGCAUUCCACCUCAAGAGUACUAUGGCAACAUAUAAACUGAAAUCAUUAGACCGUUUCUGAAACCAGUAGUGAAGUAUGUUAUUUAAUUCGAUGAUCCGCGAAAAACCUUACCACAGCUUGUAUAACAUUUUUGUAAAAUUGUUACAAGCGCUGCAUGGCUGUCUUUAGUUAAUGUCGUGAGAUUUGGUUAACUCCUUUAAUUAACGAAAACCCUCACUUUAUUUAUUUAUAUAGAGUGGUUCACUACUACAUUAGACUAGAUAAUAGGGAUUAAGACAAGUCAUUAUGGCCUAAAUGCUGUGGGCUAUAGACGUGCCACAUACGCCUUUACAAAGGGAUGCGAUAUUGUGAAAUGGAGCUAAUCCCCAAAAAAGGAAAUAUUAUGGAUUGUAGUCUGUAACUCGACUACAUGAAAAAGGAAUUACUAGUAAUCGUGAAUCACCAACGUCACGGUGAAUUUUUCUCAGUUAGGUACUAACCACUCGUCAGGCGCUGAAAAAAGAAGAUGCAGUAAGUUUGAUUUUUUCUGUG